UUUGUAUGCAGACAGGCGACUGUGCUGUAUAAUCGCGGGGUCUGAAUUAACGUUUAAGUGGCGUGUUCCGCCAUCAGCCGCGAUGCCAUCGAAAAUUAUUCGAUGGUUUUUUCUUUU
This 117-nucleotide non-coding RNA is filed under the name unclassified sequences. The record is from Rfam.